This 1588-nucleotide unclassified non-coding RNA is filed under the name Drosophila mojavensis. RNAcentral describes it as "GI11853". Lineage: Eukaryota; Metazoa; Arthropoda; Insecta; Diptera; Drosophilidae. The record is from RNAcentral.
UUCAGCUGUUCAGCAUCUACGUUUUGAAUAGUGUUGAAAUUUAAAAGGCGUAUGUGCGCCUUGUUGAGCUUCAAAUGACGCAGUUGAGCACAAAUUAAAUACAUUGGGAUAAACAUUUAAAAGUGGUAUACGCUGUUGAUGCUGGACAAAAUCAGGAGCUAACAAAGAGAAAUGAAAGAGUGUGGAACGCGAACUUGCGCGAGAGAUUAAGAGAGCGAACGUUUCGUGGUCAAACAAAACAAUUGCUUUCACUAUCUCCACACGCUCGUGUUUGCAUUCGCGUUGGGCCUGCGUUGCGUUUUAAAAUAAAACUUCUGUCCGUGUGCACCAGCAGCAGUGCGUGAUGCUCCAUCGCUGCGAUAAAGGAAUUAUAUAAUAUUUAUCCAUAAAGUGCAUUCAUUGAUUGAUUUUCCAACCGGCAAUUCUUGAGUUCCAGCAGUGUCUCCAGUCUUUUGGAUAUGGCGCGUCUAAUUGAGAGCAAUUUUGUUCCGAUUGCUAUGGGCGUUGCAGCCAUCGUUGCCGGGGCAUUGAUAGUCCACUAUUUUAUCAAUAAGAAGUCGACGAAGCCCCGUCGCGAACCCAACCGAACUGCACGAUUACGCACUCUGGUCGAUCCCAAUGAUAAGUACCAGCUGCCACUGAUAGAGAAGGAGGUGCUCAGCGCUGAUACGAGACGUUUUCGCUUCGGUCUGCCCUCCAAGCAGCAUAUACUGGGUCUGCCUGUGGGCCAGCAUAUCCAUCUGAUAGCGACAAUUGACAAUGAGCUGGUCAUACGGCCGUAUACACCCAUCUCCUCCGAUGACGAUGUCGGCUACGUGGACCUGAUUGUGAAGGUGUACUUCAAGGAUACGCAUCCUAAAUUCCCAGCGGGUGGCAAAAUGACACAGUACUUGGAGCGAAUGGAAUUGGGCGAUAAGAUCGCGUUCCGUGGUCCCUCGGGUCGCUUGCAAUAUCUGGGCAACGGCACCUUCUCCAUUAAGAAACUCCGCAAAGAUCCACCCAAGCAAGUGACGGCCAAGUGCGUCAACAUGAUUGCCGGCGGCAGUGGCAUUACGCCCAUGUUGCAGCUCGUGCGCGAAGUGCUCAAGCACAGCGACAAGGAUAAGACACAGCUGGCGCUGCUCUUUGCCAAUCAGAGUGAAAAGGAUAUCUUACUGCGUGACGAACUAGAUACCUUGGCCAAGCAGCAUCCCGAUCAGUUUAAGGUCUGGUACACCGUGGACAAAGCAAGCGAAGCCUGGUUGUACAAUACGGGCCAUGUCAACGACGAGAUGAUGGGCGAGCAUCUGCAUCCGCCCAGCCCAGAUACAUUGUGCCUGCUGUGCGGUCCGCCGCCCAUGGUCAACUAUACCUGUAUACCGGGCCUUGAACGCCUGGGACAUCGUUCCGAGCAACGUUUUAGCUAUUAAGUAACGAAGCUUAGCAUUCGUAUAAUUUGAGCUUUUCAGUUAAAAAAUAACACAAAUCAAGGGAAAUGUUGUAUCUGUGUGCUUGUGCUGGACUUAUAGUGUUGGCUUCGUCAAUGAUGAGAUGAUCGCCGCUCAUCUGCUGCCCGCCAAUGACGACACGAUCGUGCUGCUCUGCGGCC